Melospiza melodia melodia is the source of this 669-nucleotide non-coding RNA. The record is from the annotation of a RefSeq genome assembly. NCBI's taxonomy places the organism in Eukaryota, Metazoa, Chordata, Aves, Passeriformes, Passerellidae.
AUGGUCAGCGUCACCGAGCUCUGCCCAUCGUCACUCGCCAUCGUGAACCGGCCCUUGACCGAAUCUCCAUACCAGCGGGCGGCCGUGACCCUGCUGGAGUGCGGGGGGGACCUCCAGCCCCCCGGGGGGUCCCUGCGCCUCCUCUGCCGAGGGUCCGGGUUCGAUUUUGGGAGUGUUGGGAUGGGCUGGGUUCGACAGAGACCCGGGCAGGGGCUGGAGUACGUUGCAGAUAUCAGUAAUGGUGGUGGAAGCACCGACUACGCGCCGUCGGUCAAGGGCCGGUUCAGGAUCUCCAGGGACAACGGGCAGAGCUCGGUGACGCUGACCAUGAACAACCUCAAGGACGAGGAUUCCGCCACCUAUUUCUGUGCCAAAUCUGCUUAUGGUGGUGGUGCUAAUGCUGCUGCUUAUACUUAUCGUGCCAGUGGUCACACCACCAUUUCUGAGACGUUCCUAUCCCCAGUCCCCAGACCCUUCCCCAAAUCGCAGCCCUUGACCCCAUUCCUGACCCUUUCCCCCAGAUCUCCCCCAUUUCCAGCAACGCCAACCACGGAGCCAAAAAGCCCCGACGGGUUCUGCCCCAAACGCAAGAAAGUUGGCGCCAAAAUUUGCCCCAAUCUCCGCAUUGUCCUCAAAUCUCCCCCAGCUCCUCGGGCCCUGAUUGGCUGA